RNAcentral lists this unclassified non-coding RNA (3965 nucleotides) under Melitaea cinxia (Glanville fritillary). Its description in RNAcentral is "misc RNA ENSMCXG00005015888.1". Lineage: Eukaryota; Metazoa; Arthropoda; Insecta; Lepidoptera; Nymphalidae. The record is from RNAcentral.
UAUAUUUUAAUACAUAUCAGUAGUAAUAUUGUACUUUUUUAUGUUUUAUUUAAUUUUCUUCGAGGUGACAGUAUAUUUCUGUACGUUAACUUUUUUUUUUGUAUUAAGUUAAAAUUAAAAAAAAAGUAAUAUUUUAAUAUAUUUUUAUUUCUUUGUAAUUAUUUGUGGUUCAUAAAUUGUAAUAUCAAAAUACGUUAUAACAAUCAAAAGAUGUACCUUGUCAACGAGAAUAUUUCGAAACAUUAUCUACAACUAUACGAUUGUAUCUGUAAUUUCAAAAACAUUUAAAAAAUUACUAUUAAUUAUCAUAAAGAUAAAAUAUUCAGAUAGUUUUGAUAAAUGCUUUACAACAUUUAGAUAACCUUAUCUAUUUAAUUUUAACCUUUAGAAUAAUUUACAUUUUAACAUGUACCGAAAAAAAUAUAGCAUGAGUCUACAUUACAUUUAAAAAAAUAUUUGACAACUGUCAACUAAGAAAGUUACUGGCUGGUAGUAUUUUUUUUGGCUGGUUAUUGUUUGAACCAAUAUCAUCAAUGGAUGAAUCACUAUUAAAUAAAGAAAAAAAACUGACAAUUACGUAAGUUACUGGUUGAUAAUAUUUUAUCCAACAUCACAAAUGUUGAACAAGCAUUCAUUAAAUUUAUAAACAUUAGUUUUCAUUUUAAAUUUAUACCAGUUUGCUUAAAAUAUUCACCCUUUCCCCUUUAAGUAAUAAUGACAUUCAUGUACCAACCCCUUUGUUUUUGUUAUAAAGCAUAUAUCAUCUGUACAAGUUGACACAUUGGACGGCUAUUGUAGGUUUUAAGUAGAUACUGAACACAUAAACCACAUAACAAAAGUUAUACAAAAUUACAUUAAUUUUCAUAAUUUUAUAAAACCUGAUAACCAAUUAACAUUUGUAUUUAGCAGUUCAAUUAAAAUUUUUACAAAACUAUUUCCAUCUCUUUCUCCUAUUAAAUCUAUUUCAUAGUUUGUCAAGCGAGAAAGAGAUGAAAUUAUUUUUGUAAUUCAAUUUAUAACUACUUAAUUAUUCCGCUAUUGAUUAAACGUCAACUUAAUGCGUUAAUAACAGCCAUUUAUGAAACAAUUACUGCGACCUAAAAAUUAUAUCUCAAAGAUAAUGAGAUUACUUUCGCAAUACCAUAAAGAGAAGAAAAUUAUCCUAAAAUUAACUUCUUUAGUAUAAUGGCACUUGCUUAAAAAUACAGACAAAUACUUUUUAAUUGUGCGUCAUACGCAACUUAAAUCUAGGCCGUAUUUACAUUUUCUCCUUUGCCAUUAUUAAUUAUAGAUUAAAAAAAAGAAACAAACAAGGACAUUCGCUUUCAUAAUGUGUAUUUUUUUAAUUAAUUAAAGUAAACAUUUGACAUCCAUUCCAUUAAAAAUUGUGACAUUUUUAGGAUUUUUAUUUAUAUUUUUUUUUUUGCGGCAAAGGAAUGUAUUACAACGCCAUCACGUUUCAAACAAGCAUUACAUAGAAACUACUUUAACAAAAAACUUUUUACACGUUAACUUUAUUCAGCCGAAAUUAUUAUAUACUAUGUCGAUCUUGAUUACACAGACAUUACUAAUAAAAUUUUAGUAAAACAUAGACCAGAUAUCUCGUCGAAAUAAACUGACUAGAAUUGAAUAUAGUGGAUAAAACUUAAAAGCAUUUUAUAGUAUGUACUUCUAAUGAAUGCAUAAAAUAUUAAUAAUUUCGAGUGCGAAGCAAAUAAGAGCGCACGAUUGAGUGAAACAUGUAAGAUUUUUACCAUUUUUAAUGCACAAAUAAUAAAUGCUUUUUUUUUUCAUUUCUCAUCCAAAAAAAACUACGUAGUUGAUAUAUGCAACUUUGUUGAUUUAUUUAAGUAUUUAUUUAUAGAAAACGUAAUAAUAAAAGUUUAAUUGCAUUGUCUCACACCUAAAAUCCUAACAAAACAACGCCUUAUGUACAUCUCGAUGUAUCAAAAAAAGACCUUAUUCACAAUAGUUCAUAACAAUUUUUUUAAUCAUUUAGCUAACUCAGCAUUUCCGAUCGACAAAAUAUUCUUUUUAAACUGUGAUAAAUUUAAAAAGAUAACUUAUAAUUAACUUAAGCCUAUUUAGAGAUCCAUGCUAAAUGUCUCCUGCGAUUCGUCGAAGGAGAUGGAAUUAGAUCGUGGCUUUUGCACUGAUGUGGGAGUCUGUUGUGCAAGAGGGGGGUUCUUCAACAUGGCAGCGGGUAGAGAGCAGCUUGGAGGCGUUUUUGAGAUCGGCGAAUGACGUAACGACAUCAUAAAAGACCUUUCGUAAACUAUACGAGUGCCUGAAAAAAAGGGAAAAAAUAUUUUAAUAAAGUUUUAUAAAUUAUAGAGAUUUAUUUUUAAAAGGCUUCUUUUAAUGUUCACUUAUUUAUUAAGCAAAUAUAUGAUAGUCUAACUGUGUCUGCGACUUCGUCCGCGUUUUGGGUAUUUACAUGUUCAACGGGAUUAUUUAAAUUGGUGUAGCUUUUUUAUUUAUGAACCGAUUGACAUGCAACAAACAUUAAAUGUUAAGUGCAGCCUAUCAUAAUACAUUAGUGAAAACCACAUCGAAAUUGGAUAAGCCAUUCCAGAGAUUAGCGUACACAAACGCACAGACAAACAGACAAAAAUUCUAACAAUCAUUGUUUUAGCUAUUUGCGUUGAUGACAGGUCCCAAUAAUUUUUUUCUCAUAUAUCUUGCAUGUAAAGACAGCGAUCCCAAACACAAUUAUUAUAAUUAUGUAUUGAUAGACGUAUAUAUUAUAUAAUAUUUUAAAAAUUUUGAUUUGUACCAUAUGAUGCUGAUAUUUCAAAUAAAGUAAAAAAAAAAACAAUAAUUGAUAAAUAUACUAUAAGCUACUUUCAAAAAUAUUUACUUUAUACUGAGAGGUCUAGUUCUAGAAGUGUAAUAAAAAAAUACUCGAUAAACCUAUCUUGUUAAUAAAUUAAUAUUAUACAUUCAAAGAUAAUUCUUUAAUAAUCUAUAUUUGAUAGUUGGCUUCACUGGUGACAAGAAGGCUGAUGUAUUUUUUUACCCAGGGUUGCUACCAGCAUUCUUGGCACAAUUCCACGCGGACAUGAUUUGUACUAUAAACGUAAAUAGUUCUUAAAUUGUGAAUUGUAAAUAUGUAUAAUUUUUUUUUUCAAUAUUGUCAAUAUUUGAAAUUAUUAUAAUCACACAAAUUCCACGCGGUUCAUCUAGUAUUAUUAUGAAUUAAAAAUUAAUAAACAAAUAAUAAUUAUAAACAAGGAACUUGUAAACCUGUUAUCACGUUUAUAAUAAAUGUUGAUAAAAUUGAUUAACGUAUAAAACGGAUAUAAAUUGAAUAAAACUAGUUUUUGUUAUUAAUAAAAAUAAAAAUCAAUUUUAAAUAUUAAUAAUAUCAUAUGUUUUUCUUUGAGUACAUAUUAAAAUAUUGUUUAGAAACCUAAAUAUUGUCUUGUUUACGAGACCUUAAAUUCGUACAUGAGACGUGAACCAGGCGAUAAUAGAUUUCAAUAUGGAUUUAUAAAAAUGAUAUAUUUUAAUGAUGCAUUAAUCUGAACGCCAAAAUACAUAAAAAAUAUAGUAAUAAAAUAUUUUUUUCCAUUAAACCAGUUUACGCGUCUCAGCCAUUCAAUAAAUAUUUUAUGAGUUUUUAAUACAUCUGUGAAUGUGACUAAUGUAUACAUAAUGUAAAUACAAUAAUAUGGAAGUAGGUAUAAAUAUAUUUAUAUGUUUUAACAUCUGUGUUAUGGCUGAGUAACAAUGUAGAGUAAAUAAUUAAAUUAAAACACCAAAUGUCAUCUGUUUUCACUCUAAUUUCAAAUUUUGAACGAAGCAACCUACCUCUAUAAAAUUGUGUUUGACGAAAAAAGCCGACUUCAAUUAUAACGACAAGUAAUAACAACGUAGGUAUACGAAAAAAUAUUCAAAAAAAAUAUGUGGUGUCAUGGGACACCAGGUAGGAACGAAGUCUUUCGGAUAAUAUAGAAGCAACA